UACGGAGGGUGCGAGCGUUAUCCGGAUUCACUGGGUUUAAAGGGUGCGUAGGUGGGCAGGUAAGUCAGUGGUGAAAUCUCCGGGCUUAACCCGGAAACUGCCAUUGAUACUAUCAGUCUUGAAUACCGUGGAGGUAAGCGGAAUAUGCCAUGUAGCGGUGAAAUGCUUAGAUAUGACAUAGAACACCAAUUGCGAAGGCAGCUUACUACCCGAAUAUUGACACUGAGGCACGAAAGCGUGGGGAUCAAACAGG
This 253-nucleotide ribosomal RNA is filed under the name uncultured bacterium. RNAcentral's name for it is "partial 16S ribosomal RNA". It matches the Rfam family "Bacterial small subunit ribosomal RNA", at positions 524 to 776 of the family's 1533-position model. The record is from RNAcentral.